CAGGACAGGUACAGCACAGGCAGCGACAGUACGAGCUUUCUUCACACCACCCUGCCCAUGUUCCUCAACCCUGACCUAGAGGGACCACCUCUAGA
Molecule: unclassified non-coding RNA, 95 nt
Organism: Urocitellus parryii (Arctic ground squirrel)
Lineage: Eukaryota; Metazoa; Chordata; Mammalia; Rodentia; Sciuridae
Source: Ensembl